RNAcentral lists this ribosomal RNA (492 nucleotides) under uncultured bacterium. Its description in RNAcentral is "partial 16S ribosomal RNA". It matches the Rfam family "Bacterial small subunit ribosomal RNA", at positions 29 to 507 of the family's 1533-position model. The record is from RNAcentral.
AGUGAACGCUGGCGGUAGGCCUAACACAUGCAAGUCGAACGGCAGCACAGUAAGAGCUUGCUCUUACGGGUGGCGAGUGGCGGACGGGUGAGGAAUACAUCGGAAUCUACUUUUUCGUGGGGGAUAACGUAGGGAAACUUACGCUAAUACCGCAUACGACCUACGGGUGAAAGCAUGGGAUCUUCGGACCUUGCGCGAUUGAAUGAGCCGAUGUCGGAUUAGCUAGUUGGCGGGGUAAAGGCCCACCAAGGCGACGAUCCGUAGCUGGUCUGAGAGGAUGAUCAGCCACACUGGAACUGAGACACGGUCCAGACUCCUACGGGAGGCAGCAGUGGGGAAUAUUGGACAACGGGCGCAAGCCUGAUCCAGCCAUACCGCGUGGGUGAAGAAGGCCUUCGGGUUGUAAAGCCCUUUUGUUGGGAAAGAAAAGCAGCAGGUUAAUACCCCGCUGUUCUGACGGUACCCAAAGAAUAAGCACCGGCUAACUUCGUG